RNAcentral lists this ribosomal RNA (450 nucleotides) under Triticum aestivum (bread wheat). Its description in RNAcentral is "partial small subunit ribosomal RNA". Lineage: Eukaryota; Viridiplantae; Streptophyta; Magnoliopsida; Poales; Poaceae. The record is from RNAcentral.
AUGGCCUUGAUCCCGUCCAUAGACCGGACGAAGUCCAGAUCGAGGUACGCGUCCGAGUCAGGGAAGAAGGUAGCGGUGCUGUCCUCGGGGCUAUCGCCAGGCUCGGGAAGAAGCCAGGAGGCCGCCUCGGCCUCGUUGCUCCCGUCGUCGUCCGCGUCCUCCUGCGUCGCGGCGGCGGAGGACGGGGAGGGGGCGGGCUGGGGCGGGUCGGCGAGCGCGCCGAAGAAAGGCGUGACGGGGAGGCGCUCGUGCCGGCUGGCGAGCGGGUUGGCGGAGUGGAUGUCGGCGUCGCACGUGGCGCAGAGCGCGGCGGCGUCGGCGCGGCAGGUGACCGCGGCGGGCGCGUGCUCGCAGACCUCGCAGAGCCAGACGCGCGCGUGGCGGGAGCCGGCCCCGUGAGCGCGCGCGUCGCACCCGGCGCAGAGGUAGGCGCCGUCCGACCGGCAGUAG